This 2145-nucleotide long non-coding RNA is filed under the name Triticum aestivum (bread wheat). RNAcentral's name for it is "long non-coding RNA (TAES_LNC010325)". Lineage: Eukaryota; Viridiplantae; Streptophyta; Magnoliopsida; Poales; Poaceae. The record is from RNAcentral.
CAAUCACCACAUCCGUAGCACGCCUUCCUCCUCCUUACUCGUCACCAGAGCCGCCACACCUCUCCUUGCUCCUCACCCGCACCCCUGUCGCGGUGCACAUCCCUCCCAUCAUCGAGCCCAACUCCCUUCACGUUUCUCCUACUCCCAGAACCACAUCCCGUUGUUUAGGCUCCAUGGCGACGGCCGGAUCGAGGCGAGCCUGGCGCAGGUAGGCGGAAGCAGCCGGGCGCCGGAUGCGGGUGGGAGAGUUCCUCCUCGUCGCCAGAGCCACUGCACCUCUCCUUCCUCCUCGCCCGCACCCCUACCGCAGUGCACAUCCCUCCCCACAUCGAGCCCAACUCCCCUUCGCGUUUCUCCUCCUCGCAGAACCACAUCCCGCUGGUUAAGCUUCAUGGCGGCGGCCGGCUCGAGGCGAGUCUGGCGCAGGUAGGCGGAACUGAUAUGGGUGGGAGAGUGUCGGACGGUGCGCCGGCUGGAGCAGCAUGAGCAAGGAGCCGGGGUCGGCCGUGGAAGGUAGGCUCGCUGGCCGGAGCAACUGCAAUAGUUGUUGGUCGGCCCGACGCAGUGCCUCAGCCCCGCCUCCUCUGUUGCAGCACACACGCAUGAGAGGGGCAGAUGUGUCGUCACUGGUGGCAAGUUCAGCGGCCGCCGCCUCCUCUUUUCUUCAAAUCCAGUAAGCCCUCUCGUGAGUGCAUAAGGGGAUGUCGUGCCCUCGAGUCCUCAACUACGGUGAAGCACCAGGUCCACAUGAGCUCCUCCUUCAAUCUGCGUGCCUGAUUUCUUAAUUUUUCAUGAAUGCACAUAGCUGAAGACAGUGGCGGAGCCAGAAAUUUCUUCCUUGGUAAUCAUUUGUGCAAUUUUAUAUCAAUAUGACAACAAAUAUACAGCAAGCCAGUAGCAGCAUACAAAUGGAUCGAACAAUUCUUUAGUAUUUCAUGGAAGUCCGGGGAAGACCCCUAGCGCCGCCACUGUCUGAAGAUUUUUUGGUUCCCUCAUCUAGAUUUCUUCUGAAGUGUGCAGGUUGUUAUUCCUUAUCAAGGAGAGCCUUAAUCAACCACACAAGAAUUUGGAUUGAAAUGAGACAGAUUCCCUAUACUAUAUUCCCUAGCCAAAUAUAGUUCAGAGGUUGAAUGAACAUUACUGCUACAAAUUUGGCUAGGGAAUCUGUCUCAUUUUAAUAUUGCAAUGAAGUGGUUGGGAUGGAGAGGAUUUUUUACUUGUCUAAGGUAAUAUUUGUUAGGUCUAUUCCUGCCAAAAAAUGUACUAAAUGUUUGUUAGUGUCCUCUUCUUUAAUUGGUUUAUAUAUUCAACUUGAUUCCUUAGCAUUCAAAUGGAAUAUACUAAAUUGGCUUUCACCUUUUUGUCCACUACUCACAGAUAUCACAAGAAGCAUCAAUGUUUUCUUAGCAUUCAAAUCGACAUUCAUGGGAUCACUUAUGGCCACAUGUAUACUAGUUGCAAUUAAUAUUGCUUUCUCAAAUUCUGAUAUCUAAAGCCUGUACUGCCUGAACAAAUCAAUGGGCUUAUAUACAUUCUGAUAUAUAUUUUCUAAAUACAUCUGUAGAUUCCCAUACCCUUUUUAGAUCCAAUUGUAAUUGUUUUGCAUUUGUCUUUGGAUUGUUUUUAUACACCCCAAGGUAAUAUUCAAGGACAACCAAGCAUUCAAGCUUAGGGAUGCCCAGGAUGGCAUCCCCUCUUUUGUCUUCGUUUCAUCGGUAAAUUUACUUCAGGCUAUAUUUUUAUUCACCACACGAUAUGUGUUUUGCUUGGAGCGUCUUGUAUGAUAUGAGUAUUUGGUUUUAGUUUACCAUAAUCGUUCUUGAUGUACACACUUUUUGAGAGGGACACACAUGAAUCGUGAAUUUAUUAGAAUACUCUAUGUGCUUCACUUAUAUCUUGAGCUAGCACUACAAAAAAAUACACUUCCAUGAUGAUACGUGUUUGUCACAGUAGGUCACAUUUUCUGUCAUGAAUGUACAUCCAUGAAAAUUUUAUGACAGAAUAAAGAUAGUCAUACUCAUGCCGUCGUAGAAGUGUUCCAUUACAUUACCAGAAUUGUCAUCACUGAAGUGUCCACUUCCAUGACGAUAAAUGGCGCGUCAUGGAAGUGCUUUCGUCAAGGGUGACCGACACGUGGCAUCCACC